RNAcentral lists this non-coding RNA (30 nucleotides) under Homo sapiens (human). The record is from RNAcentral. Lineage: Eukaryota; Metazoa; Chordata; Mammalia; Primates; Hominidae.
UGGGCAAGACAAAACGGGAUAUCUAUAGGC